GCAGUGGUAGUUUAGUGAUAGAAGUCUUGCCUUUCAUGCAGGAGACCCUGUUCAACUCCUGGCCAAUGCA
RNAcentral lists this transfer RNA (70 nucleotides) under Loxodonta africana (African savanna elephant). It matches the Rfam family "tRNA". Rfam says of the family: Transfer RNA (tRNA) molecules are approximately 80 nucleotides in length. Their secondary structure includes four short double-helical elements and three loops (D, anti-codon, and T loops). The record is from Rfam by way of RNAcentral. Lineage: Eukaryota; Metazoa; Chordata; Mammalia; Proboscidea; Elephantidae.